UGUUUCCUACGGGGGGCAGCAGUGGGGAAUAUUGGGCAAUGGGCGCAAGCCUGACCCAGCAAUGCCGCGUGAAGGAAGAAGGCCCUCGGGUUGUAAACUAUUGUCGUGAGGGAAGAAAUUGACAGUACCUCAGGAGGAAGCUCCGGCUAACUAUGUGCCAGCAGCCGCGGUAAUACAUAGGGAGCAAGCGUUAUCCGGAUUUAUUGGGUGUAAAGGGUGCGUAGACGGGAAAUUAAGUUAGUUGUGAAAUCCCUCGGCUUAACUGAGGAACUGCAACUAAAACUGAUUUUCUUGAGUACUGGAGA
Molecule: ribosomal RNA, 305 nt
Filed under: uncultured bacterium
Lineage: Bacteria
Description: bacterial SSU rRNA
Rfam family: Bacterial small subunit ribosomal RNA
Source: RNAcentral